RNAcentral lists this unclassified non-coding RNA (202 nucleotides) under Hevea brasiliensis (rubber tree). The record is from RNAcentral. Lineage: Eukaryota; Viridiplantae; Streptophyta; Magnoliopsida; Malpighiales; Euphorbiaceae.
AGUUUUCUAGCAUUACCAAUGUUAUCUUUCUUUGCUUUCCCAUGGUUGUAUAUGCUGUCCAUAGAUAAGUUUCUUUUCCAUAGUUGUGUAUGCUGACUGGUCUCAUGUUGUUUAGGAAAUACUGAAAAUUGAACCAUUUGAUUUUGUCUUAUGGAAUAACGGAAAAUGCAAAAAAAGAUAACAUUGGUAAUGCUAGAAAACU